GUAAAUUACACCCAAGUUCAUACGCCGUAUCGAGAAAGGAAUUUACUGUCCGUUUAAAAAUAGCAUUAUGUAGAAAUGUCCUUUUGGUUUUAUUUGCUUUUAAAUAUAAUUCGGACAAGAAGGACAAAAUGAGGACAACUCAAUAACGAGUCUUUAUUUAAUAAUAACGAAAUCUGAUUGUCUUCUUGAACGUUUCAAGCCAAAAGACGUAAGAAACGUUGCUUUUGAUUGGACGAUUAGAUGUUUACUCUAACGUCAUAGUAAGUGCCAAAAGACAUAAAUAGGAGCCUGUAGAACAACAUGUCAUUCUGAAUCAAUCUCUUGAACCGUCAACUACCUUUUAUAUUGACCACCCGAUUUAUUGCUUUAUCUGUUGAAUGAUGAAUGUGUAUUUGAUGUUUAUUAUAUUGAAAGAAGAAGUCAAAAUACUGUUGAAAUAAAUAUCAUUGUUAUGUUUAUUACAAAUCUGUUUCUUCAC
Molecule: long non-coding RNA, 478 nt
Filed under: Mytilus galloprovincialis (Mediterranean mussel)
Lineage: Eukaryota; Metazoa; Mollusca; Bivalvia; Mytilida; Mytilidae
Source: RNAcentral